CAAGAAGUAGUUUAUCUAAAAUUCAGGUUUUGGAAAUCUGAGAUACUUCGAAGAGGUUUUCUUGA
Molecule: transfer RNA, 65 nt
Filed under: Capitulum mitella
Lineage: Eukaryota; Metazoa; Arthropoda; Thecostraca; Pollicipedomorpha; Pollicipedidae
Description: tRNA-Pro
Source: RNAcentral